Molecule: ribosomal RNA, 301 nt
Filed under: uncultured bacterium
Lineage: Bacteria
Description: partial 16S ribosomal RNA
Rfam family: Bacterial small subunit ribosomal RNA
Source: RNAcentral
CAGUAGCCGCGGUAAUACGAAGGGUGCAAGCGUUACUCGGAAUUACUGGGCGUAAAGCGUGCGUAGGUGGUGGUUUAAGUCCGUUGUGAAAGCCCUGGGCUCAACCUGGGAAUUGCAGUGGAUACUGGGUCACUAGAGUGUGGUAGAGGAUAGUGGAAUUUCCGGUGUAGCAGUGAAAUGCGUAGAGAUCGGAAGGAACAUCUGUGGCGAAGGCGACUAUCUGGACCAACACUGACACUGAGGCACGAAAGCGUGGGGAGCAAACAGGAUUAGAGACCCCUGUAGUCCCUGUCUCUUAUAC